GCGGGAGUAGCUCAGUCGAUAGAGCAUUAGCCUUCCAAGCUAAGGGUCGCGAGUUUGAAUCUCGUCUCCCGCUCAA
Molecule: transfer RNA, 76 nt
Filed under: Odoribacter sp.
Lineage: Bacteria; Pseudomonadati; Bacteroidota; Bacteroidia; Bacteroidales; Odoribacteraceae
Also listed under: 2 other names
Description: tRNA-Gly
Rfam family: tRNA
About the family: Transfer RNA (tRNA) molecules are approximately 80 nucleotides in length.
Source: RNAcentral